GAGGAUGUCUCUGCUUCUCUCUCCCUUUCUCUUUCAUUUCCUUUCCCAGAAAAGGAACAGCCGAAAGGUUCUGUUUCACAAAAUGAGCAGCCAAUGCCUGAAACAAGACGGGGUAAUACACCUCUGCUUUUCUUUGGGGGGCUCGGCAACAAGUAGGGUGAGAUUACCAAUAACGGUGUACAUUAUAGUUAUUCACAUGGAUGCGGUAG
Molecule: long non-coding RNA, 209 nt
Filed under: Nicotiana benthamiana
Lineage: Eukaryota; Viridiplantae; Streptophyta; Magnoliopsida; Solanales; Solanaceae
Description: long non-coding RNA (NBEN_LNC000320)
Source: RNAcentral